UCCUCCCUCUUUCCUCGUGCUUAACACAUGCAAGUCGAACGGAAAGGCCCUGCUUGCAGGGUGCUCGAGUGGCGAACGGGUGAGUAACACGUGGGUGAUCUGCCCCUUACUUUGGGAUAAGCCGGGGAAACUGGGUCUAAUACUGGAUAGGACCAUGCUGUAGGUGGUGUGGUGGAAAGAUUAGUUUCGGUAAGGGAUGAGCUCGCGGCCUAUCAGCUUGUUGGUGGGGUAAUGGCCUACCAAGGCGUCGACGGGUAGCCGGCCUGAGAGGGUGGACGGCCACAUUGGGACUGAGAUACGGCCCAGACUCCUACGGGAGGCAGCAGUGGGGAAUAUUGCACAAUGGGCGAAAGCCUGAUGCAGCGACGCCGCGUGGGGGAUGACGUCCUUCGGGUUGUAAACUCCUUUCAGCCAUGACGAAGCCCUUGUGGUGACGGUAGUGGUAGAAGAAGCACCGGCUAACUACGUG
This 469-nucleotide ribosomal RNA is filed under the name uncultured bacterium. RNAcentral describes it as "partial 16S ribosomal RNA". It matches the Rfam family "Bacterial small subunit ribosomal RNA", at positions 36 to 507 of the family's 1533-position model. The record is from RNAcentral.